This is an RNA transcript of Pan troglodytes (chimpanzee), 8417 nucleotides long. It is a transcript of the gene named centrosomal protein 295, with no coding region annotated. The record is from RefSeq and is a predicted model, not a curated record. Lineage: Eukaryota; Metazoa; Chordata; Mammalia; Primates; Hominidae. The transcript has 28 exons.
UUGGCGGGCGGUUUGAAUGACGGAAGUGACGGCGGCUCGGCGAUGGCUCUCCCGCAGGCGCAGAAACGGCUGCUGGGCAGCUGAUGGGCAGGAGCUUACCAGGCUGGCUUGCUCUGAGCUGCAGUUACUGUGUCCAGGCUCCGGGUUCUCAGAACUGUCAUACAUAAAGUACACAGAAAUGAAAAGAAAAGUCGUGAACACUCACAAGCUGAGAUUGAGUCCUAAUGAGGAAGCCUUCAUUUUGAAGGAAGAUUAUGAAAGAAGGCGAAAACUAAGAUUGCUACAGGUUCGAGAACAAGAAAGAGAUAUCGCCUUACAGAUAAGAGAAGACAUAAAACAGAGGAGAAAUCAACAAUUUACACGUUUGGCAGAGGAGCUAAGGGCAGAAUGGGAAGAAUCACAAACUCAGAAAAUACAGAACUUGGAAAAACUGUAUUUGGCAAGUUUAAGAAGUAUGGGAGAGGGACAUCGACAGGCCAAAGAAAAUGAACCUGAUUUGGAUGCUUUGGCACAGCGGGCAGCAGAAAGGAAAAGAAAAGCAGAUUUGAGGCAUAAAGAAGCCUUGAAAGUACAGAAAAAUCAAAAAGAAAUAUUACUGAAACAAAAAACCUGGCAUAUAAAAGCUCGAAAGGAAGCACUGCUUGUGGAAAAAGAGAGAUCAGCCAAAAUUACAAGUCUGCCACCUCCUCCUCCAACUCUUUUUGAGAACAUUGAAGUAAAAAGAAUUUCUGCAGUCAAAACCAAUAGUUCUACCUACCAUCAUCUUCACACUUUUGUGAGUAGAGAGACAGACACAAAACAGCCAGAUGCUCGUUUGGCUGCUGAAGAGGAAGCUAAACGAUUGGAAGAACUACAAAAACAGGCAGCACAAGAGAGAAUGGAACGGUUUGAAAAGGCACAUGUACGGGGAUUCCAAGCAAUGAAGAAGAUCCAUUUGGCUCAAAAUCAGGAGAAACUAAUGAAAGAACUCAAACAGCUACAGCAAGAGGACCUGGCACGUAGGAGACAGACUGUAGCACAAAUGCCACCACAACUAGUUGAACUUCCAUACAAACGCAGUGAAAUGAAAGAAGACUGGCAGAGAGAAUUGGAAUUUGCCUUUGAAGAUAUGUACAAUGCAGACAGGAAGGUGAAAGGGAAUCUGAUUCUGCACCUUGAACCAGAGCCCUUGCCCACUAUGACUAAUCAGAUCCAAGAUGAAGAGCUGGACCUUUCAAUGGAACAAGAAAAUUUGGGUGCAGCUGAAGACCUUCCAGUGACAGAAGCUGAAAUAUGUUCUAGUGAAACAGAUGUUCCCUUGGUAAUGAAGACCCAACAGAUUCCUUCAAAAGUUCUUUUUAAAAAAUUAUUAAAUAAGAUCCGAAGCCAAAAAUCUCUCUGGACAAUUAAAUCUAUGUCUGAGGAUGAAAGUGAAAUGAUUACGACUGUUAGUGAAAUUGAGAGUAAAGCACCAACGGUUGAGUCAGGAACAAUUGCCAGCGAAGAGAGAACGUUAUCCUCUGGGCAGGAACAAGUUGUUGAAAGUGAUACACUAACAAUUGAGUCUGGACCACUUGCUAGUGAAGAUAAACCACUUUCGUGUGGUACAAACUCUGGAAAAGAACAAGAAAUAAAUGAGACUCUGCCUAUCACAACUGUAGCUCAGAGUUCAGUUCUACUUCAUCCUCAAGAAGAAGCAGCCAGGAUUAGAAUGUCAGCAAGGCAGAAACAGAUAAUGGAAAUAGAAGAGCAGAAGCAAAAGCAAUUGGAAUUACUUGAACAAAUUGAACAGCAGAAAUUAAGAUUAGAAACUGACUGCUUCAGGGCUCAGCUGGAAGAAGAAAAAAGAAAAAAAACUCAACCGACUGGGGUAGGAUGCAGAAAAUCUCAUCACUACAUAAAUCAUUUGGUUGGCAUUGCUCCAGCAUCAUGCCCUGUAAUUUCUGAUGAAGAUAGUCAUAGGCAGAUGAUUCGUAACUAUCAACAUCAGCUUUUACAACAAAACAGGUUACACAGGCAGUCUGUUGAAACAGCCAGGAAACGAUUACUUGAAUAUCAAACUAUGUUAAAAGGAAGGUGCCCAUCGGUGUCAGCUCCAUCAUUGAUAACUGAUUCUGUUAUAUCAGUGCCAUCAUGGAAAUCUGAGAGACCGACUGCUAUAUCAGAGCAUUGGGAUCAAGGUCAGAGACUCAAGUUGAGUCCUAACAAAUACCAACCCAUACAACCUAUACAGACCUCCAAAUUAGAACAAGAUCAUUUUCAGGUAGCGAGACAAAAUCACUUUCCACAAAGACAGGUGGAAACAACAGAAACAUUACACACUUCAGAUAUUUUAACCAAUCAAGCUUUAGAAUCACAAGAACAUCUAAGGCAAUUCUCUCAGACUGAAACACAACAGAGAGACUAUAAAUUGGUCCCCAAAGAUUCUGAGACACUUUCAAGGGCUUUGUCACAUGACAGGCAGCUAAUAUCACAGGAUGCUAGAAAAAUAUCUGAAACAUUUAGGGCAACAACUUUUCAAAGUUUAGAAUCCCAACAAUUGUUCUCAGAGAAUAGUGAAAAUAUAUCUUACCAUUUAACUGAACCUUCUUCAUUUGUACCACUGGUACCUCAGCAUUCUUUUAGUUCUCUGCCUGUUAAAGUUGAGUCAGGAAAAAUUCAAGAACCCUUUUCAGCCAUGAGCAAAAGUACAGUUUCCACAAGCCAUUCUAUAAUCAGCCAAAUGCAUGAUAGGCCUUUGCUGCCGUCAGAGAAUAUCACAGCCCAGCAAGGUAAUAUGAAGGCCCUCCAAGAACAGUUAGACCUACAGAAGAAAGUUCUUCAGGCAAGACAGGAAGCUCAGGAACAGUUACUUUUGUGCAAACAGAAAGAAUUGGAACAGCAAAUGGGCCUCUCGGUAUUCCUUCCCUUGGUAACUCCAGAUUCAUCUGCUUUAUUGCCUUCUGCCAAAGCAGAUUUGGGGAGAAUCCAGGAAUCUUCACCAACCAAGAAUAAUACUGCAGUUUCCUCAGACCAUCAUGUGAUCUCACAACUUCAGGAUAAGCGUUUGAGUCUUUCACAGCCUAUCCUAUCACAGCAAAAUAAUUUUAAAUUUCUCCAAGAGCAGUUGAAUAUUCAGAAGGAUAGCCUUCAGGCUAGGCGAGAAGCCCAGGAAGUAUUGUAUGUACAUAAACAGAGUGAAUUGGAUAGAAGAGUAUGUUCUGAACAGGCUGAGCCCUCUUUCCCAUUUCAGGUAGCUCAGCAUACAUUUACUUCACUACCAUCUGCUGAUACAAAAUCUGGAAAAAUACAGGAGCAACAUUCAUCUAAGAGCAAGAAAGGACUUGUUUCAUGCCAAUCUGACAUCCCCAUAUCUCAGGAUGGGUCUUUGAGUUUCCUACAGCAGUUCCUACCUCUACAUGAUAGUUUGAAGUUGCUCCAAGAACAGUUGACUAAACAGAGGGAUACUCUUCAGGCUAGGCAUGAAGCUCAGGUGGAAUUACUUUUACAUAGACAAAGAGAUUUGGGGGACAGUAAGUCUGGGCUGGUGAGCUCUUCAUCCUCACCAGUGGUUGUUCAGCAUUCAGUUGCUUCACAAGCUUCUGCUAAAGCUGAGCCUAGGAGAAUUCAGGAGCUUUAUUUAUCUGAGAAGGAGAAUGUAGGUCCCUCCUGUCGUUUGAUAAUCCCAACAUUUCAGGAUAAGUCUCUUAGUUUUCCACAGCAUAGCCUGGCACAGCAAGAAAAUUUGACAAUACUCCAAGAACAGUCACAAAUACAAAGAGUAAUACUUGGUGCUAAAGAAGGAACUCAGGAAUUUGUACACACAGAAAGUGAAUUGGAGAAAAUAAUUUCUUCUGAACAGACUGGCACCUCCUCAUCCCUUUCCCAGGUGGAUGAAUCUGAGGGAUUCCAGGAAUGUAUAUCAAUCAAGAGUGACAGUACCAUUCCCUUAAGCCAUCCUAAGAUCCCAAGAUGUCAGGAAAGACUUUUGAGAGUUUCACAACAUAUGCUACCUCUACAAGAUAAUUUGGAGGAACACCAAGCAUGGCUAGACACUGAGAAAGAAGCCUUUCAUGUCAGUCAGAAAACCCAAGAAAAUAUGUCUUCUGAACAAACUGGCUCAUCUUCAUUCAUACCCCAGUUGGUACAGCUUUCAUUUACUUCGUUAGCUUCAGCUGAGUCUGGCACAAUCCUGGAACCUCUUUUUACAGAGAGUGAAAGUAAAAUUUUUUCAAGCCACCUUCAGAUCCCACAAUUGCAGGAUAGGCUUUUGAGGAUAUCGCAACUUAUCCAGCCUCAACAAGAUAAUUUGAAGGCACUUCAAGAACAGUUAGCUACACAGAGAGAAGCCAUCAUUCUAGCUAGACAAGAAGCUCGGGAAGAAUUACUUUUACAUCAGAGUGAAUGGGAGGGAAGAAUAUCUCCCGAGCAGGUUGACACCUCUAACUUACCCCUAGUACCACAGCAUUCAUUCGCCUCAUUACCUCUUACUGAAUCUGAAAGAAACCAAGAACCAUGUUCAAUUAACAGUGAUAAUAUAGUAUCCUCAGGUCACUCAGAGAUACCAACAUUGCCUGAUGGGCUGUUGGGUUUAUCACAUCUUGUUUUACCUCAACAAGAUAAUUUGAUUGCACUUGAAGAACACUUGCAUGCACAGACAGAUUUCCUUCCUUCUAUUGAGAAAACCCAGAAAGAAUUGGUUUUGUCAAAACCAUGUAAAUUUGAGGAAAAGGUAUCUUCUGAGCAUUUUAUCCAGUCUCACCAUGGUGAUUUGCAGGCACUUCAACAGCAGUUAGAUACACAGAAGAAAGCCAUUCGAUCUAUACAGGAAGUCCAAGAAGAAUUGCUUUUGCAAAGAUUAAGUGAAUUGGAGAAAAGGGUAUCAUCUGAACAAGUUUGCUCCUCUUCAUUUGUAUCCCAGGUGCCUGUUGCUGACUCUGAAAGAACCCAGAAGUCUUUCCCAACCAAAAGUAAUGAUACUCUUCCCUCAAGUCAUUGUGAGAUUCCAAGAUUACAGGAUAGACUUUUGAGUUUAUCACAGCCUAUUCUGCCUCAGCAAGAUAAUAUGACAGCACAAUUGGAUGCACAAAGGGAAGUGAUGUAUUCUUAUGAGAAACCCCAGGAAGAACUGUCUUUAAACAAACAAAGAAAGUUGAACAAAAGUGAAUCUGCUGAGCAUACUAUCCCCUCUUUGUUUCUACCCAAGGAAACAGAGCAUUCGUUUAUUCCACUACCUUUUGCAGAAGCUAAACCUAAAAGCACUUGUGAAUUGUAUUCAUCCCAGAAUGAACAUGCAGCCCCCCCAAGUAAUCCUGUGAUCCCAGGGUUUCAAGAUAGACUUUUGAGUUUUUCACAGCCUGUCUUAACUCAGCAAGAUAACUUGGGACUUCAGAAACAGUUGGAUCUACAAAGAGAAGUUCUGCAUUAUAGCCAGAAAGCCCAAGAAAAAUUGCUUGUACAGAGACAAACAGCAUUGCAGCAGCAGAUACAGAAACAUGAAGAGACUUUGAAGGAUUUCUUUAAAGACAGUCAGAUAAGUAAGCCCACAGUUGAAAAUGAUUUAAAAACCCAGAAGAUGGGGCAGCUCAGAGAUUGGUUUCCUAAUACACAAGACCUAGCAGGAAAUGAUCAAGAAAAUAUUAGGCAUGCAGAUAGGAACAACUCUGAUGAUAAUCAUUUGGCUUCAGAAGAUACUAGUGCCAAGCAAAGUGGUGAGCAUCUGGAGAAAGAUCUGGGGAGAAGAUCCUCAAAGCCACCUGUAGCAAAAGUCAAAUGUGGUUUGGACUUAAACCAGCAUGAACUUAGUGCUAUACAAGAAGUAGAGUCACCAGCAAUUGGCAGAACUUCUAUACUAGGUAAACCAGGUAUUUAUCAAGACAGAGACCCCCUGCGAGUCUCAAUAAGCCGAGAACAAAGUUUCUUUGGGAGCCCACUGGCCCAUGAUCCAUUUAGUUGUCUUCAACCAGUUGGCCAAGAGAAUAUCUGUGGUGAUGACUAUGAUGAAGCAGUUAAGCUGAAGGAAUCUGUUGUUGAAAAUCAUGCAGUGUUAAGUUAUGCUGUGGAGGAAGAACAUACAUAUUUGGGUCCAACUGUGAAGCCAGAUGAUAAGGCUAAAACACUGUCUCAUGAACCAUUAUCUUCAGCAACUGUUUCCACUGGGAGCCUUUUAAGUUAUGAAAACACAGAUUUGAGCCUUACAGAUCCAGAGUCAUUUUCAGAGCACAUGGAUGAUAGCAAGCAAGAAUCUACCACCAGUAAAGAAGAGGAAACAAAUAUUAUAAGUUCCAUAGUUCCUUCAACACAAGAUAUUUAUCAGCAGCAGAACUCUUCAAACGUUCAUAAAUCUCUGUUGCCUGCAGUGGAUGAAACUACAUGUGGUCACACACACUUUCAGCAAAUGAUAGACAAGUACAUUAAUGAAGCAAAUUUGAUACCUGAAAAAACAGAUUUGCAAGAAUUGGAACACAUUUUUCCUAAUUUGCAUCAUCAGCUGUUUAAACCCUUAGAACCACAUCCAGAUUUUGACUUAUCAUCAUCAUCAUCCUCUGGGAUUUCUCCAGACAACAGAGACUUUUACCAGAGAUCAGAUUCUUCAUCUGAAAGCCACUGUGCUACUGGAUUAUCCAAAAGUACAGUUUAUUUCACAGCACUGAGGAGGACCAGCAUGCAUUCUUCUCUUAACACAAGUCUGAAUCAACAACCUGACACUAACUUGGCUCAUGUUGGAGCUCACAGUUUUGCUACAGAAAAUAUUAUUGGGGGAUCUGAACAAUGUUUUGAACAGCUUCAGCCAGAAUAUUCUUCACAGGAGGAGAGCCAGCAUGCUGAUCUACCAAGUAUUUUUAGCAUUGAAGCAAGAGAUUCUUCCCAAGGCAUGAAAAAUCAGAACUAUCCCUCUGAAGAACAUACUGAAAUAUUACAAAACAAGAAAAAAAUUGUUCAUUUCCAGCUUUCUGUAGGAAACUUUUCAGUCUACAGUUCAUCUGAUGAAGCUAAUGUAUUUGAUCAGUUAAAUGUACAGCAUAGCACUCCAUGUGGUUCUAACUCUAGUGAGUGCUCAACAAAACACCAACUAGAAAGCAGAAAAGAAAGUAUGGGCUUUGAAGAACUAUCAAAAAGAGGGGUUGUUACAAUGUUACAAAGUCAAGGACUCAUUGAAGAUAAUAAAAAUGAAACCUGUAGGGUUUUAGACAUAAAUCCACAGGUAGAGGAAACUGACUCUGGAUUAUGUGUAAGAACAGUGGAGAUGGGAACUUCAAUUCAGGCACCAUAUUCCUUAACUACUCAAAAUGAAAAAUAUUUUGAGAAUUCAGCUGAAACAGACAUUCCAAAAAUCACCAAAAAACUAUCUCAACUAGGAGAAUCAGAGCUUUUUGCAAGUUCUGGAUCAUUUUCAUUACAGAGCUCUAUACCAGUCUGGGUAAGUGAAAUCAGUGUUGUAUAAAUAACAUUUAAGUUCCUUUUUGGGAAAAAACUUUUUUCUUCGAAAAUUAGAGAUGAAGUUCCCACUAUGUUACCCAGGCUGAACUCAAACUCCUAGGAUCAAGGGAUCCUCCUGCCUCAACUUCCGAAGUAGUUUGGACACACCACAAUGCCUGGCAGGAAAAACCUGAAACAAAAUACAAGCAAAACUGCUUGUUAAUAUUCCUAUCCAGCUUGUGAUCACUGGAAAUAUCCAGCAUAAUGCAGAAACUUAAAAGUUUGAAAACUGUCUUCUGAGAGUAUUUUACAAAAGAUCCUUUUUCUCCCGAUUCAGAUAUCCUUUCUCCAACUUCCCUGAAAAAUGGUGGUUCUGCCUGUGCUUCAGCAUUUUCAGUGUUGAGCCUCAUUCCAGUGCAAUGAAUUCAUCCAUUAUUGGAAUAAGUAUUGGAAACCUGCUCCUCAUAUUAAGCAACUUAUAAUCUGCUUGCUUUCAACACCAGUCAACUGGUGACUGGUUUUCAUCUAGCAGAAACAGAAACUGGCCAUGGUAUAAUGGAAGAACCAGAACUUACUUUAGUAAGCACCACUGAUACCAGUAUUGCUGAAAUGGAUUUUGCAAAUUUAACCCUAGAAGAGAAGAGCGAGAAUGAAGCAAAAAGCUUCUUUCAGGUGAGUGAGUUUCUGCCUCUUGUAUCAGCAACAGAAGCCUCAGAUUAUCCAGCUGUAUCAGAACUUUCCAUAGAAAAACCAAGGACAGCAUCUACAGCAGAAACCCCUCGCAGGCUUACACCUAUAACAGGGAGCUUACAAGAAGCAUUUAUAAAGAGGAAAAAAUCAUUUAUGGAGAGAUCCCACCAGAGGCAGAAAGAAAUAAGGAAUAAAAUUCAUGUCUCUGAAAAUUCUCAUAUCAAAACAGUUAAAGAGAAACCAUCUAUAAGUUCAUCUGUGAGUCAUCUAAAGGGCGUGAAUAAAGUCACAGCAUCUUUUCCUGAAGACAGAAAGACUACACAGGCUCUAAGGCACCAAAGGGGUCUAAG